RNAcentral lists this ribosomal RNA (1533 nucleotides) under Vibrio parahaemolyticus. RNAcentral describes it as "partial 23S ribosomal RNA". It matches the Rfam family "Bacterial large subunit ribosomal RNA", at positions 197 to 1777 of the family's 2925-position model. Lineage: Bacteria; Pseudomonadati; Pseudomonadota; Gammaproteobacteria; Vibrionales; Vibrionaceae. The record is from RNAcentral.
AACAUCUAAGUACCCCGAGGAAAAGAAAUCAACCGAGAUUCCGAAAGUAGCGGCGAGCGAAAUUGGACUAGCCCUUAAGCUUUACACGCGUUAGACGAACGGUCUGGAAAGUCCGACGAUACAGGGUGAUAGUCCCGUAGUUGACGACGUGUGUUCAGUGAAAUCGAGUAGGGCGGGACACGUGAUAUCCUGUCUGAAUAUGGGGGGACCAUCCUCCAAGGCUAAAUACUACUGACUGACCGAUAGUGAACCAGUACCGUGAGGGAAAGGCGAAAAGAACCCCUGUGAGGGGAGUGAAAUAGAACCUGAAACCGUGUACGUACAAGCAGUAGGAGCAGGCUUUGUCCUGUGACUGCGUACCUUUUGUAUAAUGGGUCAGCGACUUAUAUUCAGUGGCAAGGUUAACCAUCUAGGGGAGCCGUAGGGAAACCGAGUCUUAACUGGGCGUUCAGUCUCUGGAUAUAGACCCGAAACCAGGUGAUCUAGCCAUGGGCAGGUUGAAGGUUGAGUAACAUCAACUGGAGGACCGAACCGACUAAUGUUGAAAAAUUAGCGGAUGACUUGUGGCUAGGGGUGAAAGGCCAAUCAAACCUGGAGAUAGCUGGUUCUCCCCGAAAGCUAUUUAGGUAGCGCCUCGGACGAAUACUACUGGGGGUAGAGCACUGUUAAGGCUAGGGGGUCAUCCCGACUUACCAACCCUUUGCAAACUCCGAAUACCAGUAAGUACUAUCCGGGAGACACACGGCGGGUGCUAACGUCCGUCGUGGAGAGGGAAACAACCCAGACCGCCAGCUAAGGUCCCAAAUUACUACUAAGUGGGAAACGAUGUGGGAAGGCUCAGACAGCCAGGAUGUUGGCUUAGAAGCAGCCAUCAUUUAAAGAAAGCGUAAUAGCUCACUGGUCGAGUCGGCCUGCGCGGAAGAUGUAACGGGGCUAAGUAGUAAACCGAAGCUGCGGCAAUAUACUUUUGUAUAUUGGGUAGGGGAGCGUUCUGUAAGCGGUUGAAGGUGUGUGGUAACGCAUGCUGGACGUAUCAGAAGUGCGAAUGCUGACAUGAGUAACGAUAAAGGGGGUGAAAAACCUCCUCGCCGGAAGACCAAGGGUUCCUGUCCAACGUUAAUCGGGGCAGGGUAAGUCGACCCCUAAGGCGAGGCCGAAAGGCGUAGUCGAUGGGAAACGGGUUAAUAUUCCCGUACUUCUUACAAUUGCGAUGGGGGGACGGAGAAGGCUAGGUGGGCCUGGCGACGGUUGUCCAGGUUCAAGUGCGUAGGCUUAAGAGUUAGGUAAAUCCGGCUCUUUUUAAGGCUGAGACACGACGUCGAGCUGCUACGGCAGUGAAGUCAUUGAUGCCAUGCUUCCAGGAAAAGCCUCUAAGCUUCAGAUUGUAAGGAAUCGUACCCCAAACCGACACAGGUGGUCGGGUAGAGAAUACCAAGGCGCUUGAGAGAACUCGGGUGAAGGAACUAGGCAAAAUGGUACCGUAACUUCGGGAGAAGGUACGCUCUUGAUGGUGAAGUCCCUUGCGGAUGGAGC